RNA transcript from Alnus glutinosa, 3342 nucleotides. RefSeq lists it as uncharacterized. Lineage: Eukaryota; Viridiplantae; Streptophyta; Magnoliopsida; Fagales; Betulaceae. The transcript is spliced from 13 exons. The record is from RefSeq and is a predicted model, not a curated record.
GAGCCCUCCGAAUUGACGUGGAUCCGGUCCUAUAUAUUUCCAGUAAAAUUGCGUCGGGGCCAAGCGGACGCUUCUUCUCCUUCUCUUCGUUCUUAAGAAACAAACAUCCGUCACUCUCUUCGUUCUUAAGAAACAACACCGUGAGAGAGAGCGAGAGAGAGUGUGUGAGUGUGUGAGCCAGCGAUGGGCCCGUCUUCCACCGCGCUUCUUCUCUUCUCUCUCUUUCUCUGCCUCGUGAUCUCACGUGCCAGCGACGAGACCACCAUUCUCAAAGGUGUUGAUCUUGAAAGCCCAGCUAUAGUUGUCACUCCUUCCCCCGUUUCUGUCCUUUCAUCUUCCCGUGGCUCUAAAGAUGCUUUACUGUGUGAACGUGUUCAAGUUUCUGGUCUUUCAAGAUUGAAACUUGGGAGUUAUGCCAGUUCUUUUCGGAUUACCUUGUCUCCAUCUGUAGAAAUUCCAGAGAGAUUACAUAGCAAAAUUAAGGUUUGUUUUCACAGAAAUGAUUCACUUGGCUUAUGUCAGUGUGAAAAUGACGAAUGGAAAUCUUUUAAGGGGCUGUGGGGCUCGGUUAUGUCCCCUUAUGAGUAUAGAUAUAUUGAUGUGAAGUUCAUUGGUGAAGUAUCUGGUUCUGUCACAGUAGCUGUUGAAGAAGAUUUCCAGCGAUGGCGCCUUGUGUGUCUAGCAUUGGGAUGUGUUUUACUACUUUUGGCUCCAAUUGUUAGCAGUUGGGUUCCUUUUUAUUACAGCAGUUCAAUGGUGAUCGGGGUUUUUCUGGUCAUUAUCAUCAUGCUUUUUCAGGGAAUGAAGUUAUUGCCAACUGGUAGGAAAAAUGUCUUCUAUCUUACUGUAUAUGGAUUAGUGCUUGGAGCUGGAUUUUUCCUUUUAAAUUACUUUUCAAUGCUGGUAAAUUCGAUUCUUGUCAAUUUAGGACUCGGUGAAGAGAUGCACAAUCCAGUCUCUAUAUUUGUGCUGGUGGGAAUAAUCCUUGCUGGUGCUGCUUUAGGAUACUGGAUUGUGAGGAAAUUUGUAAUCUCAAAAGAUGGAAGUGUGGAUGUUGGUAUAGCCCAUUUUGUUAAAUGGGCAAUGGGCAUCAUUGGAACCACGUUUAUUUUACAGAGCACUCUUGACACUCCUCUAGCACUGGUGACCUUGGUUUCUUCCUGGGCUAUCUGCAAUCUUAUCUUUUGUCUGAAGUGGGCCAGUACAGUGCAUCAAUCAUAUUCUGGGAGUGUGACUCCUUGGCUAAAGCAGGAGAGACAGACAACAGGAAAGCAUAGCCGUGCUGAAUUCCUUAGCAGAUCAAGCCCUCAAGCAAGGGAAGAUGUGGAAUAGUCCACCGAAGCUAUCUGCUUGGUCGAAUUCUCCCAUUAGAGGUGUAAUAUCGCCAUCUUUUGGGGCAAAGACUGAGCAAGAAUACUAUUCAACCUUCCACAAUGUGCGGAACUGAAAGAAGUUUACAAAGAAAUAGUGGAAUGAAAUGAAGAUUGAAGAGCUGGUAGGAUCUCUUCAGACAUACGAAUAUUCCUUACCUCCGGUCAGAAAGGCAAAGACAAUUGCCCUCAAGGCAUCUAAGGCAUCCAAGAAGAAAUUUAUAGUCUUAUCUGACGAAGAUUCCGAUGUUGAUGAAGAUGCAGUGACAAUGUUAGCCAAGAACUUCGAGCGUUUUAUGAAGAAUAAUAAAUUCAAGAAGUUCUCUGACAGACUAAGAAAGGCUCCCCACACAGCUGAUACAGAAGAAGCAGAGAAGAAAGAUCCGAGGGGUCCCCAGUGCUUCGAAUGUUCAGGUUUUGGGCACAUCAGGACUGAAUGUGCAAAUCUGAAGAAACAAAGAGGGAAAACAUUUAAUGCAACUCUCAGCGAUGAGUUUGAGAAGGAAGAAGAAACUCUUGAGGAAGAAAAAUUCCUGGCCUUCGUGGCCCCACAUGAAGAUAAGGAGGAUUCUCAGUCCUACUACUCUGAGAAUAGUGGAGAAGAAGAUAUGCAGUCAGCCUAUCAACUUCAAUAUGUUGAAUUCCUAAAGCUGGGGAAAAAAUACAAGCAAUAGGUACUAGAGCUGAACAGCCUCAGGACUGAGAAGACCUCUAUGCUCAUAAAGAUCAAUGAUUAAGAAGAAAGGCUACUGGAGAGUUGCAACUAGAGAGAAUCUCAGACGAGAAGCUCACUCACGUGCUCUCCAUUCAGAAGUGUCCAACUGACAAGACCGGACUCGGGUAUGUUCCUACUUCUAUCUCUGAUACUCUGUCUACCUCCAAGACCAUUUUCGUGAGACCAGUUAUGCCUGAAUCUCCACCCCCAAGAAUAGAUAAGGGAAAAGCUGUUAUGAAAUGAAAAGUUCCUAUCAAUCUUUAGCCUUUAGUCAAGCUUCCUAUCAGGAGAAAGCCUCUCACAUGCCAUUACUGUGGCAAGCUAGGGCAUAUCAGACCUAAUUGCCGACAUUGGCAAGUUCAACAGAAGAAAAAAUGGCUGGAUCCUAAAACUCCCAUGUGUCACCAAUGUGGAGUUAGCAGUCAUAUCAGACCAAGGUGUCCUCCACCUAAGCCAACCAAGCAUCAUAGAUCUCCGCCCAGAAAUCAUGUUCCAAAGCAUCAGCAACUGUAGAAGCCUACUCAUACGAAAAAGACUUGGGUCCCCAAGAAGACUGCAAGAAGGGAAAUCUCUGGUGAAGGAACAUCUUCUGCCAGCUCCAUGCAAGAUCUGGUCAGAUUUCUGGCACUACAGCUUAAGAAAGAAGGACAGGACAAAGACGAGGACACCCACUUCGCGAGGGGGAGCAGACCUACCUAGUAGAAUUUUCUAGCAUUUGAUGGAGUCGAUCCUGAUGCACAAAAGACUCAAUUAAAACUUUAUUUGGAUGAACCCAAGUAUUUGGAGAAGAACACGACAUUUGACAUCCUUUCAUUUUGGAAAGGAAAUGAAUUUCGUUAUCUUAAAGUAGCUGCCAUGACUCGUGAUGUUUUGAGUAUUCUUAUUUCUACUAUUGCUUCAGAAUUCACUUUUAGUAUUGGUGGACAUGUGAUUGAUCAGUAUAGGAGUUCACUCAAGCAUGAUAUUGUUGAGGCAUUGGUUUGCACUAGAAAUUGGUUAUAUGGAGAGCAAAAACAAACUUCAAUGAAAGUGGAUAACGAAGAAGAUGAUGUUUUGACAUUGGAUAGUAGCAAUUCCUGUAGUGGAGUUGAAUGACAAAGAUGGGCAUGUCAAACUGACCUGCGUUGGACCCAAUCUGAUGGACAAUGAACAUAUGUAAGUUAUUCAAGAAAUCAAAACUCAAGAGUGGACAAUUAUAAUGCAGUUUUUUGUAUUUGUAAAUUUGUAAUGAUGAUGUAGGGUUUUUUUUUAUUAUUA